UGCGUAGGCGGAUAAAUAAGUCAGUGGUGAAAUCUUCCGGCUCAACCGGGAAACUGCCAUUGAUACUGUUAGUCUUGAGUUCGGUUGAGGUAGGCGGAAUGUGUAAUGUAGCGGUGAAAUGCUUAGAUAUUACACAGAACACCAAUUGCGUAGGCAGCUUACUAGACCGACACUGACGCUGAGGCACGAAAGCGUGGGGAGCGAACAGGAUUAGAUACCCUGGUAGUCC
This 229-nucleotide ribosomal RNA is filed under the name uncultured bacterium. RNAcentral's name for it is "partial 16S ribosomal RNA". It matches the Rfam family "Bacterial small subunit ribosomal RNA", at positions 568 to 796 of the family's 1533-position model. The record is from RNAcentral.